Molecule: ribosomal RNA, 514 nt
Filed under: uncultured bacterium
Lineage: Bacteria
Description: partial 16S ribosomal RNA
Rfam family: Bacterial small subunit ribosomal RNA
Source: RNAcentral
GACGAACGCUGGCGGCGUGCCUAAUACAUGCAAGUCGAGCGAACAGAUGAGAAGCUUGCUUCUCUGAUGUUAGCGGCGGACGGGUGAGUAACACGUGGGUAACCUACCUAUAAGACUGGGAUAACUCCGGGAAACCGGGGCUAAUACCGGAUAAUAUUUUGAACCGCAUGGUACAAUAGUGAAAGACGGUUUCGGCUGUCACUUAUAGAUGGACCCGCGCCGUAUUAGCUAGUUGGUAAGGUAACGGCUUACCAAGGCGACGAUACGUAGCCGACCUGAGAGGGUGAUCGGCCACACUGGAACUGAGACACGGUCCAGACUCCUACGGGAGGCAGCAGUAGGGAAUCUUCCGCAAUGGGCGAAAGCCUGACGGAGCAACGCCGCGUGAGUGAUGAAGGUCUUCGGAUCGUAAAACUCUGUUGUUAGGGAAGAACAAAUUUGUUAGUGACUGAACAAGUCUUGACGGUACCUAACCAGAAAGCCACGGCUAACUACGUGCCAGCCGCCGCAGUAA